GUCUAUGGCCAUGCCACCUGGAACAAGCCCGAUUCUAUCUGAUAUCGGAAGCUUAGCAGGGUCGGGCCUUGUUAGUAUUUGGAUGGGAGACCACCUAGGGAGACCAGGUGCUGUAAGUG
Molecule: ribosomal RNA, 119 nt
Filed under: Pteropus alecto (black flying fox)
Lineage: Eukaryota; Metazoa; Chordata; Mammalia; Chiroptera; Pteropodidae
Source: RNAcentral